CGGGCUAGGGGAAAAGGAACAGCUCGUCUCCUCGCGGCCGCAGCUAAGGGCCCACCAGCUCCCCCUCCGCCAUCUAACCUCCUCGGGCUAGGAGAAGUAGGAGAGAGAGCGCUGGGCUAGGAGUGGUUGAGGAGGAGGGCCGCUGCGUGGGGCGGAGGAGGUUAGCCGCUUUACGGGGGAGGGUGAGCGGCCUCUCGCGGCAACGCGGAGGCGUCGGUAGCCUACGGUUGUCGGGGAGGGGGGCGGUGGCGUAGAGGUGUCGGCGGCGUGCGGUGGCUGGGGAGGCCUAGCGGCGUAGCGGUCCUAGAGUCGUCGGACGGCCUACGUCGGCGACGCGAGCCUAGGGGCGCCGGAGGACCUAGGGUAGCGGCAGCCCAGAGGGCGAGGUUGCGGCCCGGCUGGGUAUAGGUACUGCUUCCGCUCGCGCGUGACGGAGGUACGAGGAGUAAGUCCCGGCAACCGGGACUGUGGUAGUGUCGCCCGGAGAAGGAGAGGUCGUCGAGCGACGGCUGGCGUAGAUCCUGCCGGAGCUGGAGGACGACGAUCGACGUCCACGUGGAGACAUAGGGAUGACGAUAGAGGAAGACGUGGUAUGUUGAUGGGAUCGAGGCUACAGACUUGAAGAUGUGGACUGGCACAUGUCCACGACCGAUAUCGAACCUGACCUCGUCCUUUUAACGUAGUUCCAUCUUCCACCUACUACCACAAACACGGAAAAGAGAACUUAACAACGACCACUACCGACGUUAAACUUCUGCAGCCAAAAAAGAGAGAAAAGUAUAAGACGUUAACACGAAGGGGAUACGCACUACUAAGAUAACGAACCACGUAACACCAAACCCAACAAAAUGACGAACUGUAACUAGACACACUCGGACACUGUCAACCUCUCUACUAUCAUCGUUCAUGUUUGAGAGAACUUACCAAUCAACUAUCAUAUCACCAUUGACAUGAUACUAGUAUAUUAUUUCGUCUUUUUUAAGUUCUAAAUAUAACUCGAUAACCUGAGUAAAGAAGAUAAUCUGAACGACUUUGAACGUACUACAAAACUAUUCAUCUACGGAGUAAAGACGAUAACCUGAACGAGUUACCCAGCUGUGAGCUGUCCGUUAAACAUAGGGGAUAGAAUAAAGAAGCCGUUCAACCGACGUCUUAGAUACCCUUAACAGAUGUUUGGAUCAUACUCAACGAUGGAAAAUUAGAAAAAAAGAUUUGUUUUGGACCUAACGGACCUAUAUCAUACGUUAAACGAAUCUAAUCUCGUGUUGAACGGAUGUUGUUGAUUUUGUAAACGGGUCCCCUGUGUUGUGUUGAACUACAAGGUGUGUUAUAUCCAGGUGAAAAAAACGGAUUUUGAACAUCCGUUUAACGGAUGUUUGGUUCAUCAUCCACGAGGACUGAAGGUGAUGAAAAAAAGAUGCCGAUCGUUUGGUUACUCAACCGACGUUUUUGAUACCUUUAACGGAUGUUUGGGUUAUGCUUAACGAUGGAAAGUUAGGAGAAAAAGAUUUGUUUCGAAUCUCAACGGACCUAUACGAUACGUUAAAAGAAUCUAGUCUCGUGUUGAAAGGAAGUUGGUGACCACGUAACUGUGUUGUGUUGAACUACAAGAUGUGUUAUAUUCAGGUGUAAAAAAAGAGCGUUGUACAGUUUAACGGAUACUUGGUUCAUCAUCUAAGAGGGCUGAAGGUAAUAAAUAAAAAAGAAACCAUAAGUUCGAUUACUUAACCGAUGUUUUAAAUACCUUUAAAGGAUGUUUGGGUCACGUUCAAAUAUCACCGAUGAAUAUCAUCAACGAGGACUGAAUCGCAAAAAGUGAACCUCGUCUCCCGUUUAUAUCUCCGAUGAAUAACAUAAUGCAUGUCAUGAUGUGUACUUGCCUAUGAACAUCAACAUAUUGUGUUUGGUUAGACGUGUUCUCUGCGUAUGGGGGAAGGAGUGAAAUUGGACUUUCGAACCGGCACGGGGUGGAAACAUAAACGAAGCUAGGACGUCGUGAUGGUGUCUCCAGAUCUCCGGAUGUUGCCGAUGUUUCUAGGGAGUACGCCUGAUCUUCGUAUUUUUUAACAACGAUACGAUUAGAUACUGUAGGGGACCGUCCCUCUUCUUCUACUUGUACUCUCUCUCUCUCUCCCUCCCUCUCCCUCUCCCUCUCCCUCUCCCUCCCUACCCCCCUCCCUCCCUCUCUUCUUCUACUUGUACUCUCUCCCUCCCUCCCUUCUUCUACUUGUACUCUCUCUCUCUCUUCUACUUGUACUCUCUCUCUCUCUUCUACAUCACCGUAAGUACUAAGACUCAGUAAACAUACCAACGAUGAUGAACAUGACGUUACUGAUAGUAUAGGAUAGUAUAAACUUAUAAACUGAUCAUUAUGGACGAGAACGACCUCGUUUGUUUUGGGGAUUAGUGGAUUCACAACAUUUAUAAGAACGGAUUUUUUUAACAAACAAAACGAACUUCCCGGAGUGAUUUAAGAGUUUACUACAGUUUCGUUGUAAAAGCUCCAAAACACGUGUGCGGGUUCGUUCUCCGAAGUUGUAUGUGAAGGUCGUCCUGAACGAAAAAAAUAAAAGGUAGAAACGUUCGUUAUUCGAAACGGUCGGUGAAGUUCCUUAUGAAGGAAGGAUGCGGCGGGAAAAUAACGGUCGUUUUUCAAAAUGGUCGUUGAAGGUCCCUAGUCCCGUAUCACCGUGUGGGGGUUCAACAGGUCUAUCUCUCCACCGCGUGCCUUCCAAGUUCACGACUACCAACCCACCUACCUAGGACGUCUUCUACCUCCUCCUUCCCCAACUACCCCUUCUUUCCCACCUCCUCCUCGCCCCUUCCCUCUUUUCAGAGGUCUCCAAAACACGGCACACAAGUGUGUGUGACCCAACGCAGCCAAUGCUAACCCUCUUUUCCUUUAGACCGGUACACGUGCUAGUCUAGCAAAGAAAGGAAAAAACUGCGGUCGACCGUUGUUCUCUCCCAGGUGACGGAAUAAAUCCCGCACACGGGACCUGGCGAUCGAUCGGUUGCCAACGACCGAUCAGCGCAGGAAAAAAAUCUAUCUUGUGUUCUUAACCGUAUCACACUAAUGUGGAAACGAGUGACUUGUGAACUUAUUGGCCUUAGUAGUUUC
This 3121-nucleotide ribosomal RNA is filed under the name Triticum aestivum (bread wheat). Its description in RNAcentral is "partial small subunit ribosomal RNA". Lineage: Eukaryota; Viridiplantae; Streptophyta; Magnoliopsida; Poales; Poaceae. The record is from RNAcentral.